GUACCCUAUUAAGGUUGACACAGUGCUUUAAGAGCCUAACACAGAAAGGUAAAGCAAGUAAGUAAGUUUCCAUAAAACCCAGAGACAAUAUUGUAAAAUUCCUUUGAAUCAUGUCUGAAGUCACAGCU
This is a small nucleolar RNA of Saimiri boliviensis boliviensis (Bolivian squirrel monkey), 128 nucleotides long. The record is from Ensembl. NCBI's taxonomy places the organism in Eukaryota, Metazoa, Chordata, Mammalia, Primates, Cebidae.